GUGCCAGCCGCCGCGGUAAUACGGAGGGUGCGAGCGUUAAUCGGAAUUACUGGGCGUAAAGCGCGCGUAGGCGGCUUGGUAAGUCGGAUGUGAAAGCCCCGGGCUUAACCUGGGAACUGCAUUCGAUACUGCCUGGCUGGAGUGUGGUAGAGGAGAGCGGAAUUCCCGGUGUAGCGGUGAAAUGCGUAGAUAUCGGGAGGAACAUCAGUGGCGAAGGCGGCUCUCUGGACCAACACUGACGCUGAGGCGCGAAAGCGUGGGUAGCAAACAGGAUUAGAAACCCCAGUAGUCC
Molecule: ribosomal RNA, 292 nt
Filed under: uncultured bacterium
Lineage: Bacteria
Description: partial 16S ribosomal RNA
Rfam family: Bacterial small subunit ribosomal RNA
Source: RNAcentral